CAAGUCAAGGUUCCAGCUCGUAGUUGGAUAUCUGGAUUGAGUUUGUUCGUGGUUUCCACAGCAAUUCAGUUCAUCCUUCUGUUAAAGCACCUUGUACUUGUACCGGGUGUCAGCUCAGAUAUUUUACCUUGAGAAAAUUAGAGUGUUUCAGGCAGGCAGGCGGAAUACAACAGCUGGAAUAAUAGAAUUGACAUGACUCUGUGGUUGGCCAGAGAAAGUGUAAUGAUUAAAAAGGAACAGUUGGGGGCAUUAGUAUUUUAAUUUGUCAGAAGGAAAAAUUCUUGGGUUUUGUUAAAAACUAAAUUAAAGCAAAAGCCUUU
RNAcentral lists this ribosomal RNA (320 nucleotides) under uncultured eukaryote. RNAcentral describes it as "bacterial SSU rRNA". It matches the Rfam family "Eukaryotic small subunit ribosomal RNA", at positions 625 to 956 of the family's 1831-position model. The record is from RNAcentral.